UUUUUCUACAUCCAAUAAAAGCUACAUAAUCAGUUUGCAAGCUUCGUCUAUAAACUCCGUCAUCCAUAUAUUAUCUCUUUAUCCAACUCAAGUGUUUGGUCAAUUUCUUGCUUAAAUUUUUGCAUAUUUGAUGAUUAAUUCUCUGAGUAAGGUCUUGAUUGGAUGAUUCAAGAAUUCUGGCCUUGCAGGGCAGGCCCUAGUGCUUUUUUUAAUGGGAGGAAAUGUUUAGACAGAUACAACUUCAGUUCCUCCAACAUCAGGUCUAGGUAAACAAUAUAUUAUUCUUAAUACUUAAUUACUAAAGUUCUAUUUAAUUUAAACUAAUAUUGUCAUUUAUUUUCAGACAUUGAGUAUGCCCUGCACUAAACCAGACUAAACCAGCUCAUAGUUAUCGCCAUCGUUGCUCUAAUUCUCUUAUGUUCAUUUUAUGGCGUUAUAUUAAACUUUCAUCUUUUAUGUUUUGUGAUUUUUUCAUGAUUUUUAAUAUCUUUCUUUAUAUACUAAACUAAGAUAUGCAAUUUUUCCAGAUUUUCACAUGUUUAUGAGGUUUUAUGGCCUCUCCUAAGCGAUAUCUCAAGGCUUGACAAAACUGCAUGUUAAUCAGGAACACAUUGUACAUGGGAGCAUGGGAUCAAGGACACACAUGCCACUAAUUAACCAAAUUUAAUUAAAUUCAAAGUUAUUAGCUUGUUUUGUUAUUGUUACACUGAGAUGUAUAGACUUUAGAAGUGAAUGUAAGUGUUGUUUUAAAGAUAAUUUUCGUGAAGUUUGGUUUUGCAUACUUUUAGAAAACAAGAAUUCCUGUAUUUGGGGAAUCCUAGUGAUUUUUGGCAUUUGUAUAUGUUCGUGUUGGGAAAUUAUAAUAAUUUUUGGCAUGCGGUUACAUUUUUUAAUAGGUUUCAGUAUUAAUUCGAAGAAAAUAUUGAAAAAUAUAUACAAGUAUUUAUGACGGUUUUCAACUGUCGAGAAAUGUAUUCUUGACGGUUUUCAAAAUAUGUAUGAGUAUUUACGACGGUUCUCAAAGCGUCGAGAAACAUUAUUCCCGACGGUUUUUUUACACGUGGAAGUAUAUACGACGGCCUUUUUCUUGACGGUUUCGUGACGGUCGAAAACCGUCAAGAAUAAUGCUCCCGACGGUUUUUCUACUUUUCCCGACGGUUUUUUACCAUCGCAUAAAGCCAUAAAUGUUG
Molecule: non-coding RNA, 1190 nt
Organism: Erythranthe guttata (spotted monkey flower)
Lineage: Eukaryota; Viridiplantae; Streptophyta; Magnoliopsida; Lamiales; Phrymaceae
Source: RefSeq, a predicted model, not a curated record